CUGCUGCCCUGCAGAGAUGCCGGAUGGGGUGCUGCCACCCUGCACAGGAUCCUGGGUGGAGCACCACUCCUUGAGGCAGCUUGCAGUUAAUUCUGCAGCAGGAUUUGGCUACUUAGAAGAGGCAGUAGACUGAAUGAUCCAGGGUGUGGGGGCAAGAUGUAUGUAGCUGCCUUAUACCAAGUAAAACAGUUGAUCCAUCAAGAUAAAUAGACCUCAAUGAAGCAAGUUUCUUGUCUGCAUAUGCCAGCAAAUGUGAAAUUGGUUAAUGUCUGCCCCACUGUCUUCAUUAAAAUGGCAUCUGGUAUACUGCUUAAACUCCUAGCAACAUUUCACUCUUGAAGGUUUCUUUAACUGAAGGCUUUAGUAAUUUCUCUAUCCUACUGUCUUUUCAUUAUAUCUGGUUUUGUGAUCUAUCUUGCCUAUUUGCAAAUCUUAUUCUGAUUUGGAUAAUAAACGUCUUAGAGUCCAUAAAGCAGAUGGCACUU
Molecule: long non-coding RNA, 485 nt
Organism: Hemicordylus capensis (graceful crag lizard)
Lineage: Eukaryota; Metazoa; Chordata; Lepidosauria; Squamata; Cordylidae
Exons: 3
Source: RefSeq, a predicted model, not a curated record